This 468-nucleotide ribosomal RNA is filed under the name uncultured bacterium. RNAcentral describes it as "partial 16S ribosomal RNA". It matches the Rfam family "Bacterial small subunit ribosomal RNA", at positions 28 to 507 of the family's 1533-position model. The record is from RNAcentral.
GACGAACGCUGGCGGUGUGCUUAACACAUGCAAGUCGAACGGUAAGGCCCUUUCUGGGGUACACGAGUGGCGAACGGGUGAGUAACACGUGAGUAACCUGCCCUCAUCUCUGGGAUAACAGUCGGAAACGGUUGCUAAUACUGGAUAUGAGCUUGCAAGGCAUCUUGUGGGUUGGAAAGAUUUUUUUUGGUUGGGGAUGGACUCGCGGCCUAUCAUCUUGUUGGUGAGGUAGUGGCUCACCAAGGCUUCGACGGGUAGCCGGCCUGAGAGGGCGACAGGCCACAUUGGGAGUGAGAUACGGCCCAAACUCCUACGGGAGGCAGCAGUGGGGAAUAUUGCACAAUGGACGGAAGUCUGAUGCAGCAACGCCGCGUGCGGGAUGACGGCCUUCGGGUUGUAAACCGCUUUCAAUUGUGACGAAGCUUUUUUGUGACGGUAGCAGUAGAAGAAGCACCGGCUAACUACGUG